GAUGAAGAACGCAGCGAAAUGCGAUAAGUAAUGUGAAUUGCAGAAUUCAGUGAAUCAUCGAAUCUUUGAACGCACCUUGCGCUCCUUGGUAUUCCAAGGAGCAUGCCUGUUUGAGUAUCAUUAAAUUAUCAACUGUGCCAAUUUGGUUACAGAUUGGAUGUGGAAGAUUCUUUUUGCAGGCCUUUGACUUCUCUUUGAGAAAAAAAAUAAAAGGUCGGCUCUCCUGAAAUGUAUUAGCAGUGCCUUUGUUGGUUCAUUAGGUGUGAUAAAUUGUCUACAUCUUCGCAUGAUACCUUCAUUUGUAAAGGUCAUAUUGCUUCUAAAUUGUCUUUGAUUGGACGCAAAACAUAUAUAAUGUUUGACAAACUUGAUCUCAAAUCAGGCAGGACUACCCGCUGAACUUAAGCAUAUCAAUAAGCGGAGGA
This 425-nucleotide unclassified non-coding RNA is filed under the name soil metagenome. RNAcentral's name for it is "partial contains 5.8S ribosomal RNA, internal transcribed spacer 2, and large subunit ribosomal RNA". The stretch from base 1 to 120 matches the Rfam family "5.8S ribosomal RNA", at positions 35 to 154 of the family's 154-position model. The record is from RNAcentral.